Long non-coding RNA from Rosa chinensis, 2160 nucleotides. RefSeq lists it as uncharacterized. NCBI's taxonomy places the organism in Eukaryota, Viridiplantae, Streptophyta, Magnoliopsida, Rosales, Rosaceae. The record is from RefSeq and is a predicted model, not a curated record. The transcript is spliced from 2 exons.
CAAUCCACUGCUUCUGUUUUUUUCUUGCUCAUUCUAGACUUCUUCAUCAGUCUUCAAGAAUGACUGCUCUAAACCCAAAGCUUUCCAUCUUUAAUUCAGCAAAGAUUAAAUUGAAGCUAGAAGAGGCGAAGGAAGCUACUCUUACUUUUAAUCUUUGAUUCAGCAAUCGACAAUCUACCUUUUACUCUUGCUGUGCAUUUAUUUUAGCGGCUUUGGGUUGAUGAAUUAAUUGAUUCUGUGUUGCUCAAUUCAUCGUUUUUGAAUGGGUUUUGUGUUGCUCUUUGGGAUACAUUUAUUUCUUUCUCGGAUUGUAUGUUUUUGCUAACAUUUGUUUUGGGUUUUUGGAGGUGAUCUUCAUGUUUUGGGUACCACAAUCGAUGACGCUUGGAAAGAGAUUGAAGGGAGUAGAGGAACAAGUUCUGAUGUCUACUGCCUAUCCAACCCAGUGACUCUUAUUCGCGGUUGAGUGUUGGUCCUUCCUUCACAUAUGAAGCAUUUUCUCCUUUUUUCUAGGUUUGGCUCCAGUUCUUCAAAGCGAUCACUCAUCUUUUUCCUUCUUCUUUUGUAUUUUUGUUGAUUGCGAUUUCAUCUUCUUCUGCUUAACAACUAAAACCCCAAAAUCCCUAAACCAUUUUGUCAACAGCAGGAGCAAAGGUCGUCACAAGGGUCCAUUCAAUCUUCAAAACUAAAAGCAUAUCCAGACCAACGAGGUGUUGUUUAUGAAUAUGUUUUUUGAUCUGGGUGUUACUUAUAUAAUCUCGGUUUCUUGAUGUUAUUAUUUUCUUUAUAUGAUUCUGCAAAAUGAAGGUAUACCUGAAAAUAAAGUGGCUAAUCUGUUGCUUAAAGUCUUUGUUUGUACCUACAAGAUGAACAUCACAAAUAAUUAAUGAAUGGAUAACUAUUAAAAGGGAAAGAUUACCUGAAAAUUUUCAACUGAGUGCUCAGUUAUUGAAGUUGACUUGGUGGACUUGAUUCCGGUAACAAAUUUCAAGUCUUGCUUUGAAAAAAAAAAACAAUUUUGGUAAGAUUUCAAGCUUUUUACUUUGUUUGUUAUUAAAGAAUUGUUUUCAUUGUUACUUACUUUGAUUUACGUUCAUGUUCUUAAGAUUUUUUUGAUCUUAAGGUUAUCCAAUGUUCUUUGUCAGCUAAUGAGCUUGGCCAAUUGUUAAGACAUUUGCUUGAAUUGGUUAUGUAUUCAUUUGCUGUGCUUAUGUUCCAAUUUUAUAUUUGUUUGAAUUGGUUAUGUAUACACGUUUUUAACUUUCUUUCUUUACUUCUAUUUGUAAUGGUAAUGAUUUAAAGGGAGGAGACAUGACGAUACAUGAGGUGAGACAACUGAGGUCAAUAGAUUUACCUGUGGGGAGUAACAUCCUUCCAAUUCUGAACGUCCGCCAUGUGCACACUGAAACGAAAAGAUUUUGCCUUUUUUCCCUUUGGAGAAGAGCAUGACGGGAGAGCCUGGAGAUGUAUAAUGGGUCUUUUUCAGCCUUUUGCCUCAUUUCAUAUGAAAACAGUCACAAUAGCCUUUUGCUUGUUUUAUGUUUAAAUGACUGAUCCUCUACUUUUCUUAUUCUUCUUUUUUAGCUCAGUGCUCAUUGCUCAUUCCGAACACAGAACAUGCCAACAUGGGGUUGAAGGCCAGUUACCUUUUUAAUAGUUGAGUUAGCAGCAAAUCUAUAAUUUAGAGUUGUGAUUUGUUGGAAGGGUGGAGUAGCAAGGAACUUUAAUCACUUUUGGUGUAAUGACACAGCUACCUACACUAUAGUGAAGUGCUUGGGCUUAGAUUGUUGGGACAAUAUCUUGACAUUUCUGUGUGAUGGAAUAAAUUUUGAUCAGCUACCAUCUCUAGCUUGCAGAGAGAUUGAAAUGUAUGCGAAGCAUAGAACUAUCAUUUUAGCGGUCUUGAUAUUUUUCCUUCCUACAAGCAAGAAAAAACAACGAAGGAAUAGAAAGAACAAAGCAUAUGCAGUUGUCGGACACUCAAAAGUGGGGAGAUUGCCUCAAUCUAUAUGGCAAUCUUUUGUAGUGAAAUCACAUCUACCAUUUUGUGAUGAGCUAAUGGUUACAUGUAUAUAGAAUGUAGCUGCCACAGCUGAGUAGACACAAUGUAACUUUACUCAAAUGAUUUUGCUUCAUUUUAUUACAUCCAUCUUUCAGUUU